Non-coding RNA from Morus notabilis, 164 nucleotides. The record is from Rfam. NCBI's taxonomy places the organism in Eukaryota, Viridiplantae, Streptophyta, Magnoliopsida, Rosales, Moraceae.
GUGAGCCGUGUGAUGGGAAACCUUCCCGCACAGUUCGGAGAGCACUGAAUUAGAAUGAGAGGUUCACCACCACAUCAUUGCAUGCAAGGGGAGCUCGCUCGAUUCGCAAAUUGGCAAGGGGGAAUCUCGAAAUAUUAGAACAUAAAAUCAAUCUAUCAUUUGAU